This 1339-nucleotide long non-coding RNA is filed under the name Olea europaea (common olive). RNAcentral describes it as "long non-coding RNA (OEUR_LNC000781)". Lineage: Eukaryota; Viridiplantae; Streptophyta; Magnoliopsida; Lamiales; Oleaceae. The record is from RNAcentral.
GUGAUUAUGGUUUUGACCCUUUUGGUCUGGGAAAACCCGCCGAGUACUUGCAGUAUGACUUGGAUUCUCUGGAUCAGAACUUGGCCAAGAACUUGGCGGGCGACGUUAUUGGGACCAGGACUGAGACUGCUGAUGUUAAAUCGACUCCGUUUCAGCCUUACAGUGAGGUUUUUGGACUCCAGAGGUUUAGGGAGUGCGAGCUGAUCCAUGGAAGGUGGGCUAUGUUGGCCACUCUUGGUGCCUUGACUGUCGAGUGGCUCACCGGCAUCACAUGGCAAGAUGCCGGAAAGGUAAGCACAUAUUUACUCUUUCAACUAGCUAUUUAUAUAUUUAUGAUUUAACAUAUACUAUCUAGCGUCAAUUAUGCUAUUUACUUUCCCUUGAGUCACGAAUUGGCCUAAUAUUAGAUAGUUCGUGCAUGUAUGUGUGUGUUAAUAUUCCUAAAGAGAGACGGUUUUUGUGAAGAAAAAGGUGUUUGUUCAUUCAAUUAAAAAUUAUGCAAGAAAAGUAGACAUAGCACUCCCGUUUUGAGUGAAAAUUACAAAUCCAUCUGUGUAUUUUGCAUGUUUUUUAUGUGGUUUUGCUUAUUAUUUCUCUCGAAAUGGGAUUGUGUGGGCCAAUGGGACGGUCAUGAUUAAAGCUUAAAUAACAAAAUUGCACUAAACUUCAUUUUCCAUUAAGUUGACCUUCUUUUUUUUUUUUUUUUUUUAAUCCUUUCACGUAUGUUGAUGCUCCAUGGUUGUUUAUUUAUCAUCGUUAGUACUAUCUAUGCAAUAGCACUAAUGUGACAAUAAAUGAGAAUUAUAGUUAAAUAAAUUACAUAAUUUCACCUUUUGUUGAGUCUAUUGCUUAGUGAAAUCAUAGCAUUAUUCUUUUAAUAUGGAGUAAUGGUAUUCAAAAUUGUAUGAUUUACAGAAAUUUCUUGAUAAAAAAUUUGAUCUUGACGGAUCAAAAUUUAGAAUGACUAAUGAAUGUACAUUUAACAGGUUGAACUUGUUGAGGGUUCCUCCUACCUUGGCCAACCACUUCCAUUCUCCAUAACCACGUUAAUAUGGAUUGAGGUCCUCGUCAUUGGAUACAUUGAGUUCCAGAGGAAUGCCGAGCUUGACCCUGAGAAGAGGCUUUACCCGGGUGGCAAAUUCUUCGAUCCGCUUGGCUUGGCAGCCGACCCUGAGAAGAAAGCCACCCUUCAACUGGCGGAGAUAAAGCAUGCCCGCCUUGCCAUGGUGGCGUUUCUUGGCUUUGCCGUCCAGGCUGCUGCCACCGGCAAAGGUCCACUUAACAACUGGGCUACUCACUUGAGUGACCCUCUUCACACUACCAUUUUGGACACCUUCGG